AGUCACUGACAUUAGAUACCCGUGUAGUCCAGGGUGUAAACGCUGCAGACUUGGUGUUGGGGGCCCUUUGGGGGCAUUCAGUGCCGGAGAGAAGUUGUUAAGUCUGCUACUUGGGAGUACGUCCGCAAGGAUGAAACUUAAAGGAAUUGGCGGGGGAGCACCGCAACGGGAGGAGCGUGCGGUUUAAUUGGAUUCAACACCGUAAACUCACCAGGGAAGACUGUUACAUGAAGGCCGAGAUGAAGACUCUGCUAGAUUUUCAG
RNAcentral lists this ribosomal RNA (263 nucleotides) under uncultured archaeon. RNAcentral's name for it is "partial 16S ribosomal RNA". It matches the Rfam family "Archaeal small subunit ribosomal RNA", at positions 717 to 982 of the family's 1478-position model. The record is from RNAcentral.